CGGCAGGCUUAACACAUGCAAGUCGAGGGGUAACAGGGAUUGCUUGCAAUCCGCUGACGACCGGCGAACGGGUGCGUAACGCGUAUGCAACCUACCUUUUACAGGGGAAUAGCCCAAAGAAAUUUGGAAUAAUACCCCAUACGAUCUUUAUUUGGCAUCAAUUAAAGAAGAAAACUCCGGUGGUAAAAGAUGGGCAUGCGUCCUAUUAGUUAGUUGGUAAGGUAACGGCUUACCAAGACUACGAUAGGUAGGGGUCCUGAGAGGGAGAUCCCCCACACUGGUACUGAGACACGGACCAGACUCCUACGGGAGGCAGCAGUGAGGAAUAUUGGACAAUGGAGGCAACUCUGAUCCAGCCAUGCCGCGUGCAGGAAGACUGCCCUAUGGGUUGUAAACUGCUUUUAUACAGGAAGAAUUGCAUCUACGUGUAGUUGCUUGACGGUACUGUACGAAUAAGGAUCGG
RNAcentral lists this ribosomal RNA (463 nucleotides) under uncultured Flavobacteriaceae bacterium. Its description in RNAcentral is "bacterial SSU rRNA". It matches the Rfam family "Bacterial small subunit ribosomal RNA", at positions 40 to 496 of the family's 1533-position model. Lineage: Bacteria; Pseudomonadati; Bacteroidota; Flavobacteriia; Flavobacteriales; Flavobacteriaceae. The record is from RNAcentral.